This is a long non-coding RNA of Phlebotomus papatasi, 224 nucleotides long. RefSeq lists it as uncharacterized. The transcript has 2 exons. The record is from RefSeq and is a predicted model, not a curated record. NCBI's taxonomy places the organism in Eukaryota, Metazoa, Arthropoda, Insecta, Diptera, Psychodidae.
AGGAAAAAUUUAUUGUUAUUUGUUGUUAAAAGUGCCCCCACGUUCUCUUUAUUGCCUGUGAAUGACCAUUGGACAUGAAAUGUUGACAAUAUCCAGGAGAUCCCCUUUUAGACUCGAUCACUGAUGAAGGCUUGGAGACCGAGCCGAAAGCUCUGAGAAGAGUUGAUGUUUUUCCUGGAGUAACUCCAAAUUCCCCGACGAAUUUCCGGUUCCCAUAUAUUGUA